UGAUGUAAUUUAAUAACAUUUCUUUGUGCAUUUUAUUAAUUAGGAGUUGAGAUAUUAGAAAGUGCUGAAAAUUUAUAUAGUAAAUUAAAAAUUUUAAAUUUCAGGUAUCUAUUUAAAAAUUAGGUAUUUGAAUUUUAGAAGAAUUUGAUAUAAGCUUGGGGAAACGACGAUCCCGCAAGUGAAACUUUAAUUAAAGUGGUUGGGGGUGAAUCAAAAUGUAUUCUCUGUUGGUGGGAAUAUCUUUAAUCUUUAUGAUGGCGAGUUCCUGAGUAGAUAGAGACAACCUAAAUGAGUGAGUGAUCAUCUCCAACUAAAUAUCCAUCAUCUCAAUUUUUGUAUUAUGCUCAGUUUGGUACAA
This 358-nucleotide long non-coding RNA is filed under the name Ananas comosus (pineapple). RNAcentral's name for it is "long non-coding RNA (ACOM_LNC002739)". The record is from RNAcentral. Lineage: Eukaryota; Viridiplantae; Streptophyta; Magnoliopsida; Poales; Bromeliaceae.